Molecule: long non-coding RNA, 506 nt
Organism: Cornus florida
Lineage: Eukaryota; Viridiplantae; Streptophyta; Magnoliopsida; Cornales; Cornaceae
Exons: 2
Source: RefSeq, a predicted model, not a curated record
GUAUUUGAUCAUUGUAAUGACUAUUUGGUCCUUACAUGACCAUUAGUUCACCUUCUUCCUGCGUCGUUCUCUUUCUCUCUCUGCAUUUUCUUUUUCUUUUUUCAAUUUCAAGCUAAGAUCUACACAAUUUCAUUGGGAAUUUGACUUUGUCACUGAAGGCAAAGUUAACGAGCACGACGAGAGCUUCGAUUUGAUUAGAGCAAAGUUGAAUUUGUGUGGUUUUGGCGCAUUUCGAAUUUAGGGCUUUUUCUUCAAAUCAAGGUUAUGGGGAAGAGUUGGUAAAUGUUGAUCCUCCACUGGCAUGGAUGGGAAUAGAAGGACUUCUUCUUAACCAUUUUGUAUUAUGAUGUAUACUUUGUAAAGUCCAGGCAAAUUUUAGGUAAUGGCCUUAUAGUCGUGACCUUGAUAAUGUAACCUUAUUCUUUGAACAUUCAAAACAUGUAUUUUAGAAUAUGUAUAAUGAUGUAAUUUAAUCCCGCUAUGAUAAAUGGAUGUUAUUUUGUCAA